RNAcentral lists this transfer RNA (90 nucleotides) under Armatimonadota bacterium. RNAcentral describes it as "Armatimonadetes bacterium (oil production facility metagenome) tRNA-Ser". It matches the Rfam family "tRNA". Rfam says of the family: Transfer RNA (tRNA) molecules are approximately 80 nucleotides in length. Their secondary structure includes four short double-helical elements and three loops (D, anti-codon, and T loops). Further hydrogen bonds mediate the characteristic L-shaped molecular structure. tRNAs have two regions of fundamental functional importance: the anti-codon, which is responsible for specific mRNA codon recognition, and the 3' end, to which the tRNAs corresponding amino acid is attached (by aminoacyl-tRNA synthetases). tRNAs cope with the degeneracy of the genetic code in two manners: having more than one tRNA (with a specific anti-codon) for a particular amino acid; and 'wobble' base-pairing, i.e. permitting non-standard base-pairing at the 3rd anti-codon position. The record is from RNAcentral. Lineage: Bacteria; Bacillati; Armatimonadota.
GGAGAGGUGGCCGAGUGGACUAAGGCGCACGCCUGGAGAGCGUGUGGGCCCUAACGGGCCUCGCGGGUUCGAAUCCCGCCCUCUCCGCCA